Molecule: unclassified non-coding RNA, 205 nt
Filed under: plant metagenome
Description: partial contains small subunit ribosomal RNA, internal transcribed spacer 1, and 5.8S ribosomal RNA
Source: RNAcentral
UCUCCGUCGGUGAACCUGCGGAGGGAUCAUUACUGGGUGAGGACCUCUGGCCCGACCUCCAACCCUUUGCUGUCCGACUAUGUGGCAUCGGGGGCGACCCGGCCCUCGAGCCCGGGGCCCCCCGUGGGCCACUCAACUCUGCAUCUUUGCGUCUGAGUAAACAUUAAAUGAAACAAAACUUUAAACAACGGAUCUCUUGGUUCUG